RNAcentral lists this ribosomal RNA (301 nucleotides) under uncultured bacterium. Its description in RNAcentral is "partial 16S ribosomal RNA". It matches the Rfam family "Bacterial small subunit ribosomal RNA", at positions 509 to 808 of the family's 1533-position model. The record is from RNAcentral.
CAGUCGCCGCGGUAAUACGUAGGUGGCAAGCGUUGUCCGGAAUUAUUGGGCGUAAAGCGCGCGCAGGCGGUUUCUUAAGUCUGAUGUGAAAGCCCCCGGCUUAACCGGGGAGGGUCGUUGGAAACUGGGAGACUUAGAGUGCAGAAGAGGAGAGUGGAAUUCCAUGUGUAGCGGUGAGAUGCGUAGAUAUAUGGAGGAACACCAGUGGCGAAGGCGACUCUCUGGUCUGUAACUGACGCUGAGGCGCGAAAGCGUGGGGAGCAAACAGGAUUAGAUACCCCUGUAGUCCCUGUCUCUUAUA